CUCCUGAUGAUGGGGCUCCAGGCCCAAAACGAAGACAGGAUCUAAUCCAGCAGGACCUGCUUCCUUUAAGCAAGAGAAGAAAGGAGCCAGACGAGUAGAGGGCUCCUGGACUGUGUUUAGCCAAUUCUGGGGUCCCCAGCCAACCUGGGGUUGGCUCUUCUGAGGCUCAGCAUGUUCAUUUUUGAUGAUCACAGACCAUCAGGGUCAUGCAGAGGGUCGGUCGUUUGCAAGAAGAGACUCCAGUCGUAGCAUUUUCCAGGAACUGUGACCGCUUCCUGUUCCGUCUCAUUUUCCCACCCUCACGCCUAAGGAAAGCAUAUGUCACCUUCUCCAGAUCUGAGUUUGGACCAGUCUUCUUUGGAUUUAUCUCUGGUUGGUCAUUCUGAAGUUGGCCUGUAGUUUGGAGCUAGGCCAAGGCCUAUGGAAACCUAUUGUGUGUGGGUGCAGUUGGUGCAAUAAAUAUGAGUCACUAUAGGUACUAUAGGUAUAUAGCUUUUUAUAUACAGUAA
Molecule: long non-coding RNA, 509 nt
Organism: Ornithorhynchus anatinus (platypus)
Lineage: Eukaryota; Metazoa; Chordata; Mammalia; Monotremata; Ornithorhynchidae
Exons: 2
Source: RefSeq, a predicted model, not a curated record